UGUGAAGGAUUCAUGUGCUGUCUUGGAGCCAGCUUCUCGGGAGCCCUCCAGACUGCAGGAAGCAGCUGUCACGGUCAGCAGAACAGUUCUGAUCCCGGCAGCUCUGGACCUGUCCGUGUUGAGCCUGUGUAUCACACAGGCCACCUGUUGCCCCAGAACUGCUGCCAACAUAGGAGCUGUGCGGUGCAGGGAGGCUGAACGCUAGAAGAGACCAUUUUCCUGAGUCAGCUGGGGAAGGCGGACUGUACGAACAAUAGAUCAGCCACACAUGGGAUUCCACCAGGAGUUUACUUCUCAUUCAGAGGCCAUGGUUCGUAAGUCGAGGUGCUAGGCAGGGGGAGGGGUCGACAGGCGGCCUACCUUAGCACAGGCACCCAGGAACUCAGACAGGCAGGGGCUCUGCCGUCUUCCCUAGGUCACUUCCAAAGCUGCCCAGAGGCACGGCCAUUCCAGCCAGAAGAGGAUGAGAGCCAGCAGCAUGCGUAGGGCAUUUCUAAGACCAGGUCUGGCAGUGGCCAACGUCAUUUCUUCUCUCAUUGCACUGGCAAACCAUGUGGCCCUCCCAGCUGCAGGAGAGCCCAGGCGAAGCCCCCAGGAAGAAGGGGAAAAGGGACACCCAAGGCGUGGGAUCAUAAAUGCGACCGCGUGUUGCUUGAAGAGGGACACACUCGGAGAAAUGUGUCGGGUGACUUUUUGAUCCUGUGACCAUGGUUCGUGCACUUUCACAAACCAAGAAGCCCAUGGCAUCUCUAGGCAAUGUAAUCUCGAGAUACGACCUCGGGGUUGUUUCCUAGACAGUCAACAGACACGGCGUUCUGCUACCUCUCCGUCGCCAGUAUCCGGCGGACUCCCGGCGCUGGCAUAAACACCAUCUCUGGAAGCCGGCACACUUUGGCAAGGGCUGGCUUGUUGCUCCCUGGCUCCUGG
Oryctolagus cuniculus (rabbit) is the source of this 927-nucleotide long non-coding RNA. RefSeq lists it as uncharacterized. The record is from RefSeq and is a predicted model, not a curated record. NCBI's taxonomy places the organism in Eukaryota, Metazoa, Chordata, Mammalia, Lagomorpha, Leporidae.